Molecule: unclassified non-coding RNA, 329 nt
Filed under: soil metagenome
Description: partial contains 5.8S ribosomal RNA, internal transcribed spacer 2, and large subunit ribosomal RNA
Rfam family: 5.8S ribosomal RNA (bases 1-120)
Source: RNAcentral
GAUGAAGAACGUAGUGAAAUGCGAUAAGUAAUGUGAAUUGCAGAAUUCAGUGAAUCAUCGAAUCUUUGAACGCACAUUGCGCCCCCUGGUAUUCCGGGGGGCAUGCCUGUCCGAGCGUCAUUACAACCCUCAAGCUCAGCUUGGUGUUGGGCCCCGCCGCCCCGGCGGGCCCUAAAGUCAGUGGCGGUGCCGCCCGGCUCCGAGCGUAGUAAUUCUUCUCGCUCUGGAGGUCCGGUCGUGUGCUCGCCAGCAACCCCCAAUUUUUUUCAGGUUGACCUCGGAUCAGGUAGGGAUACCCGCUGAACUUAAGCAUAUCAAUAAGCGGAGGA